Long non-coding RNA from Helianthus annuus (common sunflower), 1708 nucleotides. RefSeq lists it as uncharacterized. The transcript has 6 exons. Lineage: Eukaryota; Viridiplantae; Streptophyta; Magnoliopsida; Asterales; Asteraceae. The record is from RefSeq and is a predicted model, not a curated record.
CUGGGCCCUAAUUUCCAGUCGCUAUUUGCCAUUGUCGCGACUGUUCCAUCAACGUCUCCAUUUUCAGCGCCGCUUGUUUGCGAUUGCAGCCUGCUCUAAUACAGUAACUUUAGGGCAAGAUGAGAUAUCCGAUUCAGUGUCCAUCCAUCAAUCCACUCAGGGUAGACAUUGAUUUCACUCUUGUCCGAGGAUUGGAUCAUAACAUGUUGCUUGUUCAUGGGGUAUCUCUCAGAUGUGUACGUACACGGAAACACUAUGCGACGUGGCGUACUAUUCCAUGCAUCUUAUGCCAUGAACACAAGAACUAACCUGGAAGUAAUCUACCAUCCUAGGAUGUGUGCUUCUGCUUUUAUAGUUCCCUAUGAUAAGGUCAUGGAAGCACUUAACGUUAAUUAUUCUCCCGGAAUGUGUUUUGAAAUGCUUGUUGAUGAAGGAGAAGACCCUGAACAUAUACGGAAUAAGUUGUUACUUCUUGCUUUUAGAUUUGAGUAGAGAUGGCAAUAGCGUGGAUGGUGCCAUAGUCACUGAUUAAAGCUUUGAGACUAUGUUUUCUCAAAAUUAAAGUUUAUUCUAUUGAGAUUUUGCUUUCUUACCUAUACGAAAGGUACUAUUAAAGUUUUGAGAUUUUGCUUUCUUACCUAUACGAAAGGUAUGUCUGGAAAGCAGAAUCAAAAUGCAAGCAAAAGGAAGAGAUCCAAGACUAUUACGAAGAUGAUGAUACACCAUCCUGGUCGAUCCCAGAAAUUCCUUUAUUAAUCAUGAUGCGGCUGGGAGUUGUCGACUUUCUUGCAUUCAGUGGUGUGUGCAAGUUGUAGCGGACAGGUGCCCCAUCAAAUAGGAAAAAAGUUCAUGUUGUCUAGACAACCGAUGGCCAUACGCAUCUCCACUCGAGUGGCUAAAAGAAAAGAGUGCUGGUUAGAGGACUGUGACGGAAGAAUGUUCCGGACCAUCCUUCCCUGUUCUAACGGAAGAAUAUCCUUCCCGGUUCACGUGGUUGCUGAACUAAAUGCCUUUCAGGGUACCCUUGUCUUUUCACAAACAGCGGAUAGUGGGUGUUUGUGAUCUCAUCCUGACACUCUAGGACAAUAUGGUUCUCGUUUAGUGGUAAACGAGCGAGCUGGACUCAUCUGUCAUCCAAUGUCCCAAUCAGUGAUUUCACAUGUUUUAAAGGAAAGAUAUAUACCCUGAACAAAGACAUCGGUUUAUGUGAAGUGAGACUCGAUCCUAACCCCGCCCUGACACGGCUAAAAAUGAAGAAUUUGUUGACGUCACAUGUCUUGCUUCCAGAAUUUGGAAUUUUGGGUGAAAAGCUAUUCAUGACGGGUUACCGGCCAUUCGAUCCAUUCCCUGUUGAAGUUGACGUUGCCGAAAUGAGAUGGGUGAUAAAAAAACCAGAAUUCUGCGGGGAUCAUCACAUGCUAUGCGGGUGGGUUAGUUACGUAAAUCGCAGGGGUAAAGGUAGAAAAACGCGCGUGAUAGACAUGCCGUACUUCCCUCAUGAAUGUUGUUGGGAUGCUAAUAUCCUACAUGAGUGAUUGUUCUCUCUGUUUUUUGUCGAGUUUUGCAUGUCUUCCAACUUUUUCAAUCCAUACCUAUUUCUAAGAUAUUUGAGAACCACCAUAGAUGGAUUUGUAUCUUUGUAUUUUUGGUUUGAACAGUCAUGUCUCGCAUUAUUUGUUUUAGGUGUGCAAAACUGUUACGUUUACUC